GAUAAUAUACCUUAUUUAAAGGAGCAUCUUGAUGAGAUGAAUAUGGACUAUGGUCUUAUUAGUG
RNAcentral lists this transfer RNA (64 nucleotides) under Liposcelis bostrychophila. Its description in RNAcentral is "tRNA-Ile". Lineage: Eukaryota; Metazoa; Arthropoda; Insecta; Psocodea; Liposcelididae. The record is from RNAcentral.